UUGACCUCGGAUCAGGCAGGGAUACCCGCUGAACUUAAGCAUAUCAAUAAGCGGAGGAAAAGAAACCAACAGGGAUUGCCUCAGUGACGGCGAGUGAAGCGGCAACAGCUCAAAUUUGAAAUCUGGCUCUUUUAGGGUCCGAGUUGUAAUUUGUAGAGGAUGCUUCGGCGUCGGCUCCGGUCUAAGUUCCUUGGAACAGGACGUCAUAGAGGGUGAGAAUCCCGUAUGUGAUCGGUUGCCCUUGCCAUGUGAAGCUCCUUCGACGAGUCGAGUUGUUUGGGAAUGCAGCUCUAAAUGGGAGGUAAAUUUCUUCUAAAGCUAAAUACUGGCCAGAGACCGAUAGCGCACAAGUAGAGUGAUCGAAAGAUGAAAAGCACUUUGGAAAGAGAGUCAAAAAGUACGUGAAAUUGUUGAAAGGG
Molecule: ribosomal RNA, 419 nt
Filed under: uncultured Cenococcum
Lineage: Eukaryota; Fungi; Ascomycota; Dothideomycetes; Gloniales; Gloniaceae
Description: eukaryotic LSU rRNA
Rfam family: Eukaryotic large subunit ribosomal RNA
Source: RNAcentral